CCUACGGGGGGCAGCAGUGGGGAAUAUUGCGCAAUGGGCGAAAGCCUGACGCAGCGACGCCGCGUGAGGGAUGAAGGUCUUCGGAUCGUAAACCUCUGUCAGCAGGGAAGAACGGUCACUGUGCUAAUCAGUAGUGAAUUGACGGUACCUGCAAAGGAAGCACCGGCUAACUCCGUGCCAGCAGCCGCGGUAAUACGGAGGGUGCGAGCGUUAAUCGGAAUUACUGGGCGUAAAGCGCUCGCAGGCGGUAUGUCAAGUCAAGGGUGAAAUCCCCGCGCUCAACGGGGGAACUGCCUUUGAAACUGGCAGACUGGAGUGUGUGAGAGGAUAGUGGAAUUCCAGGUGUAGGGGUGAAAUCCGUAGAUAUCUGGAGGAACAUCAGUGGCGAAGGCGACUAUCUGGCACAUAACUGACGCUGAGGAGCGAAAGCGUGGGUAGCAAACAGGAUUAGAUACCCCUGUAGUC
RNAcentral lists this ribosomal RNA (465 nucleotides) under uncultured bacterium. RNAcentral describes it as "partial 16S ribosomal RNA". It matches the Rfam family "Bacterial small subunit ribosomal RNA", at positions 338 to 795 of the family's 1533-position model. The record is from RNAcentral.